This 456-nucleotide ribosomal RNA is filed under the name uncultured bacterium. RNAcentral describes it as "partial 16S ribosomal RNA". It matches the Rfam family "Bacterial small subunit ribosomal RNA", at positions 338 to 795 of the family's 1533-position model. The record is from RNAcentral.
CCUACGGGAGGCAGCAGUGGGGAAUAUUGCACAAUGGGGGAAACCCUGAUGCAGCGACGCCGCGUGGGGGAAGGAGCACCUCGGUGCGUAAAGCCCUAUCGGCAGGGAAGAAAAGCGAACAGGUUCGCCUGGACGGUACCUGACUAAGAAGCCCCGGCUAACUACGUGCCAGCAGCCGCGGUAAUACGUAGGGGGCAAGCGUUAUCCGGAUUCACUGGGUGUAAAGGGAGCGUAGACGGCGGCGCAAGUCUGGAGUGAAAGCCCGGGGCCCAACCCCGGGACUGCUGUGGAAACUGCGGCGCUGGAGUACGGGAGGGGCAGGCGGAAUGCCUGGUGUAGCGGUGAAAUGCGUAGAUAUCAGGAGGAACGCCGACGGCGAAGGCGGCCUGCUGGACCGUGACUGACGUUGAGGCUCGAGAGCGUGGGGAGCAAACAGGAUUAGAUACCCGUGUAGUC